RNAcentral lists this ribosomal RNA (497 nucleotides) under uncultured bacterium. Its description in RNAcentral is "partial 16S ribosomal RNA". It matches the Rfam family "Bacterial small subunit ribosomal RNA", at positions 28 to 507 of the family's 1533-position model. The record is from RNAcentral.
GAUGAACGCUGGCGGCGUGCCUAAUACAUGCAAGUCGAGCGAACAGACGAGGAGCUUGCUCCUCUGACGUUAGCGGCGGACGGGUGAGUAACACGUGGAUAACCUACCUAUAAGACUGGGAUAACUUCGGGAAACCGGAGCUAAUACCGGAUAAUAUAUUGAACCGCAUGGUUCAAUAGUGAAAGACGGUUUUGCUGUCACUUAUAGAUGGAUCCGCGCCGCAUUAGCUAGUUGGUAAGGUAACGGCUUACCAAGGCAACGAUGCGUAGCCGACCUGAGAGGGUGAUCGGCCACACUGGAACUGAGACACGGUCCAGACUCCUACGGGAGGCAGCAGUAGGGAAUCUUCCGCAAUGGGCGAAAGCCUGAUGGAGCAACGCCGCGUGAGUGAUGAAGGUCUUCGGAUCGUAAAACUCUGUUAUUAGGGAAGAACAAAUGUGUAAGUAACUAUGCACGUCUUGACGGUACCUAAUCAGAGAGCCACGGCUAACUACGUG